GACGAACGCUGGCGGCGUGCUUAACACAUGCAAGUCGAACGGAAAGGCCCUGCUUUUGUGGGGUGCUCGAGUGGCGAACGGGUGAGUAACACGUGAGUAACCUGCCCUUGACUUUGGGAUAACUUCAGGAAACUGGGGCUAAUACCGGAUAGGAGCUCCUGCUGCAUGGUGGGGGUUGGAAAGUUUCGGCGGUUGGGGAUGGACUCGCGGCUUAUCAGCUUGUUGGUGGGGUAGUGGCUUACCAAGGCUUUGACGGGUAGCCGGCCUGAGAGGGUGACCGGCCACAUUGGGACUGAGAUACGGCCCAGACUCCUACGGGAGGCAGCAGUGGGGAAUAUUGCACAAUGGGCGGAAGCCUGAUGCAGCAACGCCGCGUGCGGGAUGACGGCCUUCGGGUUGUAAACCGCUUUCGCCUGUGACGAAGCGUGAGUGACGGUAAUGGGUAAAGAAGCACCGGCUAACUACGUGCCAGCAGCCGCGGUGAUACGUAGGGUGCGAGCGUUGUCCGGAUUUAUUGGGCGUAAAGGGCUCGUAGGUGGUUGAUCGCGUCGGAAGUGUAAUCUUGGGGCUUAACCCUGAGCGUGCUUUCGAUACGGGUUGACUUGAGGAAGGUAGGGGAGAAUGGAAUUCCUGGUGGAGCGGUGGAAUGCGCAGAUAUCAGGAGGAACACCAGUGGCGAAGGCGGUUCUCUGGGCCUUUCCUGACGCUGAGGAGCGAAAGCGUGGGGAGCGAACAGGCUUAGAUACCCUGGUAGUCCACGCUGUAAACGGUGGGUACUAGGUGUGGGGUCCAUUCCACGGGUUCCGUGCCGUAGCUAACGCUUUAAGUACCCCGCCUGGGGAGUACGGCCGCAAGGCUAAAACUCAAAGGAAUUGACGGGGCCCCGCACAAGCGGCGGAGCAUGCGGAUUAAUUCGAUGCAACGCGUAGAACCUUACCUGGGUUUGACAUGGAUCGGGAGUGCUCAGAGAUGGGUGUGCCUCUUUUGGGGUCGGUUCACAGGUGGUGCAUGCCUGUCGUCAGCUCGUGUCGUGAGAUGUUGGGUUAAGUCCCGCAACGAGCGCAACCCUUGUUCACUGUUGCCAGCACGUUAUGGUGGGGACUCAGUGGAGACCGCCGGGGUCAACUCGGAGGAAGGUGGGGAUGACGUCAAGUCAUCAUGCCCCUUAUGUCCAGGGCUUCACGCAUGCUACAAUGGCUGGUACAGAGAGUGGCGAGCCUGUGAGGGUGAGCGAAUCUCGGAAAGCCGGUCUCGGUUCGGAUUGGGGUCUGCAACUCGACCUCAUGAAGUCGGAGUCGCUAGUAAUCGCAGAUCAGCAACGCUGCGGUGAAUACGUUCCCGGG
RNAcentral lists this ribosomal RNA (1343 nucleotides) under uncultured bacterium. RNAcentral's name for it is "16S ribosomal RNA". It matches the Rfam family "Bacterial small subunit ribosomal RNA", at positions 28 to 1378 of the family's 1533-position model. The record is from RNAcentral.